UACAGAGGUCUCAAGCGUUGUUCGGAUUCAUUGGGCGUAAAGGGUGCGUAGGCGGCGCGGUAAGUCGGGUGUGAAAUCUCGGGGCUUAACUCCGAAACUGCAUUCGAUACUGCCGUGCUUGAGGACUGGAGAGGAGACUGGAAUUUACGGUGUAGCGGUGAAAUGCGUAGAUAUCAGGAGGAACACCGGUGGCGAAGGCGGGUCUCUGGGCCGAAACUGACGCUGAGGAGCGAAAGCGUGGGGAGCAAACAGG
This 253-nucleotide ribosomal RNA is filed under the name uncultured bacterium. Its description in RNAcentral is "partial 16S ribosomal RNA". It matches the Rfam family "Bacterial small subunit ribosomal RNA", at positions 524 to 776 of the family's 1533-position model. The record is from RNAcentral.